CAGUAGCCACGGGAAUACGGAGGGGGCUAGCGUUGUUCGGAAUUACUGGGCGUAAAGCGCACGUAGGCGGCUUGGUAAGUUAGAGGUGAAAGCCCGGAGCUCAACUCCGGAAUUGCCUUUAAGACUGCCGAGCUAGUAGGUGAGAGAGGUAAGUGGAAUUCCGAGUGUAGAGGUGAAAUUCGUAGAUAUUCGGAAGAACACCAGUGGCGAAGGCGGCUUACUGGCCCAUCCUAGACGCUGAGGUGCGAAAGCGUGGGGAGCAAACAGGAUUAGAUACCCCUGUAGUCCCUGUCUCUUAUAU
Molecule: ribosomal RNA, 301 nt
Filed under: uncultured bacterium
Lineage: Bacteria
Description: partial 16S ribosomal RNA
Rfam family: Bacterial small subunit ribosomal RNA
Source: RNAcentral